UCGAGUUGUGCGGUUGUUGUUGUUGUAGCUCUUGAGCACCUAUGUAUCUGGCCUUGGGUGAGUGUGGGUGUUGGUGUGUUGUGGCUGUAUCGGUCCGAUGUGGGUUGUUGCUUUAUAUAUAAAGUGGGGUGAAAGCCUUUUUCAGUAAUUUUAAGCUUUCAUCAAUGGGCUUUUGAUGUUUCAUCAAAAUACAGUACGCAUCGUUCCAGGUUCACAGCCGGCUCCUUUAGACGGAGCGGGGAGCCCUAUAGCUCCCCAGUGGGAGUUUCUCAAAAACUAUAUAUAAAAAAAAAACUCCCGAAUGGGCCUUAUUACGGUUUUCAGAGAUGCUAGUGUGCUUCGGCUAGGACUGGUCCAUCGACUUCAUUCAGCCCAUGCCUGAUGCGAGUAUCUCUCUAGCCGCCAGACCGAGGUUGGAGCCCCUUGCCGCAGCGCGCGCCGCCGCUCCUCCGCGCCCUCCCCUCCGCGGUUGCCGGCGGCCGCAGCGGAUCCGGCGCCCUCAUUGGCCAUUUCCCUCCGCCUGAUUCGGCUUCGGCGAAAGGCCGACCACGUGCUAGCGCUUCGAGAACUCGAUCGACCCUGUUACCGAACAGCGCAUUCCAUCCAUUUUCGCAGAAAUGGAUGGAUUCUCAUGUUAGUGCCUGGCCGUAGCAUUAGUGCCCUUGAUUAGUUGACCUGGUGACGGUGGGGAAGACAUCACCAUAGUGGUAACAAAAAAAAACAUGUAGUCAGUCACAAUGGAGAGACUAGAGACAUGAAAUUUGGUGUUUGUGAAAAUAAACCACCUACCUUACGAUGUUGAUAGCGUUUACAGAGAUGUAGUAACUGA
This is a non-coding RNA of Aegilops tauschii subsp. strangulata, 829 nucleotides long. The record is from RefSeq and is a predicted model, not a curated record. NCBI's taxonomy places the organism in Eukaryota, Viridiplantae, Streptophyta, Magnoliopsida, Poales, Poaceae.